This is a non-coding RNA of Stegodyphus mimosarum, 46 nucleotides long. The record is from Rfam. Lineage: Eukaryota; Metazoa; Arthropoda; Arachnida; Araneae; Eresidae.
GUACAGGCUCUUUUUAGAGCCAUACAUUCCUUGCAAUGAGUUGCGU